This is a long non-coding RNA of Chelonia mydas (Green sea turtle), 102 nucleotides long. RefSeq lists it as uncharacterized. The record is from RefSeq and is a predicted model, not a curated record. NCBI's taxonomy places the organism in Eukaryota, Metazoa, Chordata, Testudines, Cheloniidae. The transcript has 2 exons.
CCCGGGCUCCCGGACCUUGAAGGCGGAGAAGGCACCUCUGCUGCAAAUGUUUCAACGCUGCCACUGGCAUCUUCGUCCCAGAGGUUAGCGCAGAUAAGAAGG